This 2642-nucleotide long non-coding RNA is filed under the name Monodelphis domestica (gray short-tailed opossum). RNAcentral describes it as "lncRNA (ENSMODG00000044268.1)". Lineage: Eukaryota; Metazoa; Chordata; Mammalia; Didelphimorphia; Didelphidae. The record is from RNAcentral.
UGCCACCUCCACACCCUCCCUCUCUUUCCUUUCCCACAAUUAAGCCUUGCUGUACCAUCAUCUCCCUCUCACCUCAUUUGCCUUGGGUUGAACCCCUGUCAGUGGCCUUUGUGGCCCUGGCACUUAGCACAGCGACUGGCACAGGGUGGAUUCUACUUUUUUUAAACCCUUACUUCCCAUCUUAGAGUAAAUACUGUGUAUUGGUUCCAAGGCAGAAGAGUGGUAAAGGCUAGGCAAUGGGGAUUUGAACCCAGGACUGCCUGGCUCUCCAACUACUGAGUCACUUAGCUUACCCCCAGAGUAGAAUUCUUAAUGUUUUUUAGCUGGCAUGGCCUCCACUGGAGACCCCUAGGAAAGGAGGCAGCAGGAUCCAGAGCAGUGUCUGAGAGAGCCCGGGCAGGGGUACGUCUGGAGUCUCUGUCUGGAUAGUACUCAGACCCCAUGAACACUUUGCUGGUAACCUCUAUGUCGUUGCCACUGUUUGGGUUCAUGGGGGCCAAGUCAUGGCCAAGAGAAGCUCUUCCUGGGAAGUAGGGAGAGGAUCUGGGACUGGGGGACAGGAAGACGGAGGCUGCCCUGGGAAGGAGGCAAGUCCCCUGGCUUGGGGACGGGAGAGGUGGCCUGGCAGAUUUUAGACGAUCAAGCUUCAAUGAGAUAUUUAUGACCUAGGAGGAGAGGGGUUACAGAAUGCCAUCAAGAAAGGCAGUGAUGGCUUCCAGGCCUUACAUGUGUUCCUGUCAUGCCAGGAGAUGGUCCCCUGCAUCCCUCGGUGUAUCUUUCUUGGUGUACCAGUCCUCGGCCAUCAAAAUCCCCAUAGCAACCAGAACCAGAGAAGCCAGGCCAACUCGGAUGAUUUGGCCAAGGGUAUGCGAGUCGGAAUAUAAGUCUGGAGAGACAAAAGAGCCCUGGAGAGUUAGAAAAGACAGCUCCGGGCUGCUGGUGACCCUCGAGGAGGCCCCCUUCUCCCCAGACUGGGCCAGCUUCCCCAAAGUUUCCAGCCACAACUGGUUCUUGAGCCAAGCGGAGCAUGCCUGAUCCCUCCUUCACACGUCCUGCAAAUGCUCAGAGAUAGCUUUUCUUCCCCAGGCUAAAAAUCCCCAAUUCCUUCAGCUGAUCCCCAUUUAUCAAGUUCUUUUACCAUCCAGGCCAUCCUCCUCUGGACACUGUUCACUUCUUAAACUGUGGCAACCACACGUGACACAGCCCUCAAAUUGGUCUGACCAGGGCAUGGCAGACCCACUCCCCUUCUUUGGGACACCAUGUCUAGAUACGAUAGCCCUAAUAUUGUCUUCACUCUCUUAAUGUCCUGCCAUACUCCUAACUCAUUUUGGGCUUGUGGUCCACCAGAAACCCCAAAUCUUGAUCUCCCCAAAAGGAAUAAGCAUCCAAGCAACAUGUCCUCCCAUUUUUUUUUAACCCUUACCUUCUGUCUUGGUUUCAAUUCUAAGACAAGAGCAGCAAGGGUUACGCAAUCAGGAUGAAGUGACUUACCUAAGGUCACACAGCUGGGAAAUGUCUGAGGCAAGAUUUGAACCCAGAUUCCCCCAACUCCCAGUCUGGUGCUCUAUCCCUUGUACUACCUAGCUGCCCAAUAUUAAACAGCCUUAUAAAAUUGAUGUGUUUUCUUUGAAGUACAUAGCACAGGCCACCUAGGCAUACAUCUCUUCUAAACAAUAUCUCUAGCAGCCAGAGGGAUAACUAUGGGGUCAGGAAGACCUAGAACUUCUGUUCUUGGUGCUUACUUACUAGCUGUGUGACUGUAGGCAAGCCAAACGCCCUCUCUGUUCCCUAGGCAACUCUGUAAGAGUGUAAGUCACAAACUGCAUAUCUGUACCACUGGAAGGCAUUGCUGUACACUGGGAAGGAGUUCUCCCCCCAGGAAAAUUACAGGUUUAGAUAUCCAUCCCUCCCCAAGCUCCAAAUCUUUAAAGGGAGCGCUCAUUGUUUCAACCUGUCUAGAUCUCUUGGGAUCUUAUCUGCCAUGCUAAGCAUUAAGCAUCCCUCUGAGUCUUGAGGCACCCACAAGCUUGAGAAAGAAUACCUUCUAUCCAAGCCAUGCUGGAAUGUCAAACAGGACCACAGCAAGAUCCCCCCGGGCGGCCCAUUACAGAGCAACUUGAAGCUGACAUUUAUCCAUGCCUGACUACUUUCUAAGUCUGCUCAGUCAUUCCUCCUGAAGCCAUGGGGCUGCCUUGUCAUCCAGACCCUCUUUCUCCACCUUGCCCAUGGAAUGGAAGAAGCCACCAAAUCAAAAGCUUUCCUGAUCUCCAGGGACACCCAGCCUAGGUCAUUGCCCUGAUCUAGAGGCUACGAAUCUCGCCAAAAAAAGAGAUGAGCUAAGUAUGGCACGACCUGGUGAUUCACUCAUCCUGGCCCUUGGUGAUCACUCCUCCCUUCUAUGUGUCCUCACAAAGCACACUUUUCACAACACAUUCUAGAACUUUGCAAGAAGGUUCCAGGCCCACCUGGUGCCCUCCCACAUUCCUGCUCCCCCUCUGGUCCUCUCUAUAUGAUAGCUGAUUGUUCUUCAUCCCUGUUCUAGCAUCCCUUUUCAGUGAUCUGUUUUAUGGUCAUCUUUUGUUUUCUCUGCCAAGGCAAUUAGAAAAAAUAAAUGAUGAUGACCAAUGGGAAGUUGGGGUCCA